UACAGAGGUCCCGAGCGUUGUUCGGAUUCACUGGGCGUAAAGGGUGCGUAGGCGGCGCGGUAAGUCGGGUGUGAAAUCUCGGAGCUUAACUCCGAAACUGCAUUCGAUACUGCCGUGCUUGAGGACUGGAGAGGAGACUGGAAUUUACGGUGUAGCGGUGAAAUGCGUAGAUAUCGUAAGGAAGACCAGUGGCGAAGGCGGGUCUCUGGACAGUUCCUGACGCUGAGGCACGAAGGCCAGGGGAGCAAACGGG
This 253-nucleotide ribosomal RNA is filed under the name uncultured bacterium. Its description in RNAcentral is "partial 16S ribosomal RNA". It matches the Rfam family "Bacterial small subunit ribosomal RNA", at positions 524 to 776 of the family's 1533-position model. The record is from RNAcentral.